Cyprinus carpio (common carp) is the source of this 1449-nucleotide long non-coding RNA. NCBI's taxonomy places the organism in Eukaryota, Metazoa, Chordata, Actinopteri, Cypriniformes, Cyprinidae. The record is from Ensembl.
AUGAACCCAGCAGUUUCACGCCUCCUCUGUCUCCGUCAGGGUGACAGGCCUAUAGAGGACUAUGUGAGUGAUUUUUGUGAACUUUGUUAUCUGGUGGACUUCAAUGAUGCUGCUCUUAAGGACAUUUUCCGUUUCGGACUAACAAAAGAAAUAUUUACAUUUACAUUUAAUCAUUUAGCAGACGCUUUUACCCAAAGCGACUUACAAAUGAGAACAAUAGGAGCAAUCAGAUCAGAUCAAAUAUCAAGUUUGAGUUCCACUCAAAUAUCAAGUUUAAUGCCACCACAUACCCCACACUUGUCUCUACAGCAGUAUAUUCACUUUGCUUUGCGCAUGAGUGGAUCUGCUUUUACUGUGGGUGUCAUGGAGGAGGAACAUGACGCUACUCCAGGGCCUGCUCACAUCACGCCUGCCAAGUCAAAGCCUACUCAUGUCAUGUCUCACAAGAUGGCGGCCACGCCUGAGUCCCCAGCCAAGAUGGCCGCCACGCCGGAGUCCCCGGCCAAGCCUGAGUCUUGCCGUGUCAUGGCUGUCACAGAGACUGCUCCCGUGACCUCAGUGCUUCUAGUAAUGGCAGUCGCCAUUUUGAGCAUGUGGGCUGCACACUUCACUCCUGAGAUGUCUUCUGUCCACGAGUCUGCUCCUGAGGCCACUCCUGACCGCGAAUUCUCUCCAGUGGCCCCAGAGGCGGCGAUGUCCACUGCAGAACCUCCAGAGGAGACGGCUUCUGCUGCAGAACCUCCCAAGGUGGUAGCACCCACCUUUGAACUCUCUGUCUGUCCUGUAAUGGCCAAGGAGGCCGUCCACGAACUCUCUGUCUGUCCUGUCACGGCCACGGAGGGCAUUCAAAAAAUCCCUGCCUGUUUUGCCACAGACAAGUGGUCUGUCCAUGUCUCUGCUCCACCUUGGCUUCCUGCUCUGCCAGUGCCACUCCGUCCUGCUAGGCCUGCUCCACCAUGGCUCCAUACUGCUCUGGAUCUGCUCCUCUGCCCAGGUCGCCCUCUACUCCAUUGUCUGUCAUUGCCUCCUGAUCCGGAUCCACCACUGCUCCUAGCUUCAGGCCCGCCAUUGCUCCACCCUCCAGGUCCUGUUCCUUUUAUCGGGCCUGGCCCUCCAUCCCUCCCCUUGUUCCGCCUCCGCUCCACCACCCUCCUGAAUUUCUUGGGUUUUGUUUGUUUGGGCUUCAGGAGCCGCCCAAAUGUAAGGUCUGUUUUGGGUUUUGUUUCUUGUUCAUUGUUUUCAUGUCUUUUAUUUUCUUAUUGUUUGUUUGAUUUAUGCUGUUUGUGUCAUGCUUCCCUUGCCCUUUUGUUCAUUGUGUCAUGUUCUGAUUGGUUUAUUGUCUUGUCAUGUGAUUAUCAGUUCUGUUUACUCAUUGGUUGUUUUAGUCAUGUGCAUUGUUCCCCAUUGGUUUGUUCAUGUCAUGUGUCCAUCAUUGUCUGUUAUAAGUAG